AACGAACGCUGGCGGCAUGCCUAACACAUGCAAGUCGAACGAGACCUUCGUGUCUAUUGGCGCACGGCUACGUACCGCGUGGGAACCUGCACUUAGGUUCGGAAUAACUCACCGACAGGGGUCCUAAUACCGAAUGGUCUCUUCGCACCUAAGAUUUAUCGCCUUUGGAUGGGCCUGCGUUGGAUUAGCUAGUUGGUAGGGUACAAGCCGUCCAAGAAGACGAUCCAUAGCUGGUCUGAGGGGUUGAUCAACCGCGAUGGGACUGAGACACGGCCCAGACCCCUACGGGAGGGAGGAGUGGUUAAUAUAGGACAAUGAGCGAGAGCCUGGACCAGCAGUGCGGCGUAAGUGAUGCAGGGCUUAGGGUUCUAAAGCUCUUUUACACGAGAUGUGAAUGACAGUACCGGGAGAAUAAGCACCGACUAACUCCGUG
Molecule: ribosomal RNA, 433 nt
Filed under: uncultured bacterium
Lineage: Bacteria
Description: partial 16S ribosomal RNA
Rfam family: Bacterial small subunit ribosomal RNA
Source: RNAcentral